AACGAACGCUGGCGGCAUGCCUAACACAUGCAAGUCGAACGAGACCUUCGGGUCUAUUGGCGCACGGGUGCGUAACGCGUGGGAACCUGCCCUUAGGUUCGGAAUAACUCCCCGAAAGGGGUGCUAAUACCGGAUAAGGUCUUCUGACCAAAGAUUUAUCGCCUUUGGUUGGGCCCGCGUUGGAUUAGCUAGUUGGUAGGGUAAAAGCCUACCAAGGCGACGAUCCAUAGCUGGUCUGAGAGGAUGAUCAGCCACACUGGGACUGAGACACGGCCCAGACUCCUACGGGAGGGAGCAGUGGGGAAUAUUGGACAAUGGGCGAAAGCCUGAUCCAGCAAGGCCGCGUGAGUGAUGAAGGCAUUAGGGUUGUAAAGCUCUUUUAACCGGGAUGAUAAUGACAGUACCGGGAGAAUAAGCUCCGGCUAACUCCGUG
Molecule: ribosomal RNA, 433 nt
Filed under: uncultured bacterium
Lineage: Bacteria
Description: partial 16S ribosomal RNA
Rfam family: Bacterial small subunit ribosomal RNA
Source: RNAcentral